UUUCUAUCCAGAGAGGUGGAGGGACUGGCCCUACGAAACCUCGGCAAAAACGUGCCAAUUCCAGCAAGCUUGAAUCGCUUGGGAGAUAGGAA
Molecule: non-coding RNA, 92 nt
Filed under: Paenibacillus sp.
Lineage: Bacteria; Bacillati; Bacillota; Bacilli; Caryophanales; Paenibacillaceae
Also listed under: 1 other name
Description: SAM-I sequence
Rfam family: SAM riboswitch aptamer (S box leader)
About the family: The SAM riboswitch is found upstream of a number of genes which code for proteins involved in methionine or cysteine biosynthesis in Gram-positive bacteria. The SAM riboswitch acts at the level of transcription termination control.
Source: RNAcentral